This 451-nucleotide ribosomal RNA is filed under the name uncultured bacterium. RNAcentral's name for it is "partial 16S ribosomal RNA". It matches the Rfam family "Bacterial small subunit ribosomal RNA", at positions 354 to 796 of the family's 1533-position model. The record is from RNAcentral.
GUGGGGAAUAUUGGACAAUGGGGGGAACCCUGAUCCAACCAUGCCGCGUGUGUGAAGAAGGCCUUUUGGUUGUAAAGCACUUUAAGCGAGGAGGAGGCUACCGAGAUUAAUACUCUUGGAUAGUGGACGUUACUCGCAGAAUAAGCACCGGCUAACUCUGUGCCAGCAGCCGCGGUAAUACAGAGGGUGCAAGCGUUAAUCGGAUUUACUGGGCGUAAAGCGCGCGUAGGUGGCCAAUUAAGUCAAAUGUGAAAUCCCCGAGCUUAACUUGGUAAUUGCAUUCGAUACUGGUUGGCUAGAGUAUGGGAGAGGAUGGUAGAAUUCCAGGUGUAGCGGUGAAAUGCGUAGAGAUCUGGAGGAAUACCGAUGGCGAAGGCAGCCAUCUGGCCUAAUACUGACACUGAGGUGCGAAAGCAUGGGGAGCAAACAGGAUUAGAAACCCUUGUAGUCC